CCUACGGGUGGCAGCAGUGAGGAAUAUUGGUCAAUGGGCGCGAGCCUGAACCAGCCAAGUAGCGUGAAGGAUGACUGCCCUACGGGUUGUAAACUUCUUUUAUAAAGGAAUAAAGUGAGGCACGCGUGCCUUUUUGUAUGUACUUUCUGAAUAAGGAUCGGCAAACUCCGUGCAAGCAGCCGCGGUAAUUCGGAGGACACGAGCGUUAUCCGGAUUGAUUGGGUUUAAAGGGAGCGUAGAUGGGUUGUUAAGUCAGUUGUGAAAGUUUGCGGCUCAACCGUAAAAUUGCAAUUGAUACUGGCAGUCUUGAGUACAGUUGGGGUAGGCGGAAUUCGUGGUGUAGCGGUGAAAUGCUUAGAUAUC
RNAcentral lists this ribosomal RNA (363 nucleotides) under uncultured bacterium. Its description in RNAcentral is "partial 16S ribosomal RNA". It matches the Rfam family "Bacterial small subunit ribosomal RNA", at positions 338 to 698 of the family's 1533-position model. The record is from RNAcentral.